CAGGGAGGGGCUGAUAACUGAUGGUUAGCUGGAGCAUUGAGUUCUUAGCUUCAGAGAGGCUGCUCAUCUGUCUCAGAACUGCCCCUGGCGCACCUCCAGCCCAGAUAAGUGGCAGUGCAGUGGGGGAGGCAGAUGGUAUCAAAGGUCACUACCAGCUCCCAGAGGCCAGCCCUCUUCUUAGAUUGGGGCUCUUGAGAGCUUCUCAGGAGGUGUCUUCAGUGCAACAUUCCAGAUUGCCCCCUAGGAAUAGAAAAGGCAGCUAACGUUUAUUGGGCACCUCCUAGGUGCUGGGAGGUUUAUAUUUAAAUCUCACAACAGCCUAUGAAAAUAGUAUUAUCCCCAUUCUCCAGAGGCUCCCUCAAAUGAAGUGACUUGCUCAAGUUCCCAUAGUGAGUGGCAGAGAUAGGAGUCAAACCCAGGAUAGUGUGAGGCCAAAGCAAAGAACCAUACUGAGGGAAAGACACCAGCAGGCCUGUCCUCUGGAGACACCGGCCUCACUCUGCUGUUGUCUGGACAUGGCAUGGCUGCCUCUCUUUCCAAACGGAGAGAAGUAAAACUGAGGGAGGCCAGGGUCUUGUAGGCAGGGUCUGCCUUUUUGAAUCCAUGCAAGGGGCAGUGAUCAGCCUGUGUGUGGCAAUGGCCAGGCAACAUGGCUCGCUUCGGGUGCCAGAAACAACUGUAAGCUUUACAUCUUAAACUAAAGAUUCCACUAAAUAAAGAAAAAUAGGAAACGUAUAGCCCCUUCCUGACCAGCCCAACCUUGUGUAUUAAAACCAAUUGUAGUACUAAGUAAUAAAGCAUUCCUCUAAAAGAAAGAAGUUUGAAUAAGGCAGACAUUAUACACAGGUUCUGAAACAGCCUCACCUGAGGAAGGGGUCAGGCUCGGCCUGGGUGCAGGGCCAAGAAGAAUGCCCUAAACCAGUCAGAGUCCUAAAUAAAUGAAACUGUCAGAGCAAUGACCACAAACUGGCCUCUCCUCAGCUCAUUUCCUGAGAUAGGAAUACGGUUUAUUGAGCAAUUUCCCUGUGCCAAGUCAUUUUGUUUGCAAUAAACCUAUUAGGCAGGUAAUUUUUUUUGUUCAUUUGGGUUUUUUUUGUUUUUUUUUUUUUUAAUUUUUGGCUGCACCUGCGGCAUGCAGAAAUUUCUGGGCCAGGGAUCGAACCUGGGCUACAGCUGCAAACCAAGUCACAACUGUGACAACACCAAAUCCUUAACCCACUGAAACACCAGGGAAAUCCCGAGGUGAGUACUAUUAUUUUUCCUAUUUCAUAGAUGCCUAAGGCUUAGAAAGUGACUGGCUGCCAUACCUAAGGUUCCCACUGAGACCCUCUUCUCAAAGGAUUAUAAGCUUGGUGCAGAGCGGAGGAAUACAGUGCAGAUGGAGGCUCUGCCAUUUGUCCCUCCUGUCCCUUAGGAGACAUGAAGAGUGUCUCUCCAAGUGGCAGGGGAAUGCCUGCAUUCUGAAAGGCCUGGACAGGAAGAAAGACAGGGCCCUCCUCAAAUGGGGUCACUCUGGGCUUUAUUUUCCCCAUCCCGCUCCGUCCCAGGACUGACAAAGUUGCACAGUUCCUGUCCUGCUGCUCAGGGCAGUGAGGACGCAGCCUCCGAGGAGCAAUGCCUCAUGUCAACUUCAUUGACUUUCUGCUUCGUUAGGUCAGUGAGAGGCUGCAGCUUGCACAGAGAGGCCUCUUCAGCACAGCCUAGCAAUUUCCUGAGAGGACCUCCCCAUUGUCCCUGCUGCCAGGGGCAGUAGCUGCAUCUGGUUUCUAUGCAAAGAGUCUGCCCAGGUGCCACCUGGAUUUCAUAUCUUCAAAGCCUGUCUACAGCACAUCUGGCUGUGUGAUUUAGGGCAAGUGCUUUACCUCCCCAAAAUUCAGUACCUGUUUCUGGAAAAUGGGAGUAAUGAUGUUCCCUACCCCACAAGAUGGUUGUGAAGAUUAAAUUAGAUAAUGCAUUGGCAUUCUCCAGUGGUGGUGCACAGGUUAAGGAUCUGGCAUUGUCACUGCAGCAGCUUUGUUACUGCUGUGGCACAUGAUGGAUCCCUGACAUGGGAACUUCCACAUGCCACAGACAUGCCACCCCUCCCUCCCCCCAAAUUAGAUGAUGCAUGUAAAAUUUCACAAAGUCUGGACCCACAAGAUUUGAUCUAGCACUGACCAGGAAGCCCCCUUCAGCAAUCACAAGUAAUUUCAAAACAGCUCAAAUCCUAGGCUGGCCCUUUGGGCAAACUGAAAGUAGAAUUUAGUGAUGUCUGUAGCAGCAUUUAUCAAGAAUCUUCUUUCCUGUCAGAGCUCCUUUCAUCCUUAAGGAGAAGUCAGGCCAACUCUUCCAAUCUCCCACCACCAAAAUUCCCUGGAGACAUUUUCUCUUCCUCUUUAUUAUAUAGAUUAACAUCCUUUAGACUCAAAUCAUUCUUCCCACCACCAGUCUAAAUACACAUAGUCUUCCCCAACUGGGUAUUAUUGAUUCUGUAUCACAAGAGCCCAAGGAACAAGUUGAGCAGAAGCCAAACUCCCACCUUGGGAUUGGGAGAACCCUUGUGGGCAGGGAAGGCUGUGAACUCUCACCUGGCACAGUAUUCCCACAAUUGAAUUUUUUGUUAUUUUUAUAAUUUUUUGUUAAAGUGUAGUUGAUUUUACAAUGUUGUGCCAAUUUCUGCUGUACAGCAGAGUGACCCAGUGACAGAUAUAUACACAUUCCUUUUCUCAUAUUCCAUCAUGUUCUAUCCCAAGAGACUGGAUGUAGUUCACUCUGCUAUAGAGUAGGACCUCAUUGCAUAUCCAUUCUAAAUGUGAUCAUUUGCACCUACUAACCCCAAACCCCCAGUCCAUCCCACUUCUUCCUCCCUUCUGCUUGGUUGGCAACCACAAGUCUGUUCUCUCUCUGUGAGUCACACAACUGAAUUUCAGGCUUCCUCCCAGCAAUGUGCACAGAGGGCUGAGAGGAGGAGCUGGCCGAACCAGGAGCAGUUCCACUUUGCAUUCUGAUUUGGCUUUCUCCUGGAAAUGGAAUCUCUCUGAAGGGGCCUCCCCAGUUCUCGACAUUGUGGCAGUAAUGUUAGCUCCAUCUCUUCUCCUGGGGUCCGCCCCCCCACCCUCCCACUGGCUCUUGAGUCUGUCUCCAUAUUGAUAAACACCCACCCUGCUAAAAGCUUGCCAGCUCCUCAGAUGCCCCAGGGGCCAUUUUAUGGGGUGGAGGUUAGUAAGGAUCUGGGAUUAUUGCCAUUAUCCAUGGCAAACUAUCUCCUGGACCACCACCACCCCCUGUGCCAGGAAGAGCAAAGUCUGAAGCCAGCUAACACAUUGUGAAAUUCUCACCUGUCACCCAUUACCCUAAACCAAAACCCCACUGUCUUCCCUGAGAAAUGAAUUCCACAUGGGAGAGAGAGAAUGGUUUCCAAAGAAUCCAGCCUGACCCAUUUCAGGACCUUUCUCAAAAACCUGCCACUGGGCCUGAAGCCUUCCGGGGCAACCCAGCUGGGCUUCCUCCCUCGGCUGUUCCUAACUUCCAGGGAUGACAGGGGGGUGUGAUGGGCCCACAGUGACAGUCAGCCCCACUGGGGUCUGCAAGGGAGCCCUGCCAAGGAUGCUGGCUCUGGAUUGUCGCCCAAGGCAGGAAGCUCUGGCCUAUGGUUACCAUGGAGAUCUUGGCACAGCCUGUGUCCAUAUGUGGUUGACAGGCGGCCUCCCUUAGGAAAUGAGAAAGAUUUGAUUUCUUGAGAACUGACUCAGCUUGGGUGGAGAGUCUGACAUGAUGGACCUGCAGCUAAGGGGGCCACAGAGGAGGCUAAGGCUGGGUGCUCUGUGAGAAUAGUGCUCUAUUGAGGUGGCCUCCUACCAGUCCUAUUGCUUUAAUGACUGGGGUGUGGCCUCCUGCUGAGUGAGGCCUCUCUGCCAAGCUGCCAAUUCCAAGUAAGGGCUGUUCAAAGAGGCUCUAGUUCAGUGGAAAAACCCCAGAAGUCAGAGCUGGAAGUGGAGCCACACCCACAGUGCCAGAGAAAGCCUGGGCUUGUGGAGAAGGCCAUGGUGUCUGGUACGGAGGAGAAAGCACUAGACUAGGUGGCAGGUUCCUGUCCUUUAGCCACUACCCGAAACACUAAGGUAGAGUUGAAAGCACUUCACUUUCCUUGCCUCUCUGGGCCCUAAUUUCCCACUGAGCAAUGAUGUCUGUCUUCAGGCCAGUAGGAUUGCUGAGGGCCCUACAAUACAGGCAAUGUGGGGCAGCGGAAACGAACCCUUCUAGGAACCAUGAAGGUGAGGGUUCAAGCCCUGGCCUCGCUCACUCAGUGGGUUAAGGAUCCAGUGUUGCUGUGAGCUGUGCUGUAGAUAACAGAGGUGGCUUGGAUCCCGUGUUGCUGUGGCUGUGGCGUAGACCAGCAGCUCUAGCUCCGAUUCAGCCCCUGGCCUGGGAACCUCCAUAUGCCGUGGGUGCAGCCCUAAAAAGCAAAAAAAAAAAAAAAAAAAAAAAAAAAAAAAAA
RNAcentral lists this long non-coding RNA (4477 nucleotides) under Sus scrofa (pig). RNAcentral describes it as "lncRNA (ENSSSCG00005017283.1)". The record is from RNAcentral. Lineage: Eukaryota; Metazoa; Chordata; Mammalia; Artiodactyla; Suidae.